This 545-nucleotide ribosomal RNA is filed under the name Escherichia coli. Its description in RNAcentral is "bacterial SSU rRNA". It matches the Rfam family "Bacterial small subunit ribosomal RNA", at positions 1 to 535 of the family's 1533-position model. Lineage: Bacteria; Pseudomonadati; Pseudomonadota; Gammaproteobacteria; Enterobacterales; Enterobacteriaceae. The record is from RNAcentral.
AAAUUGAAGAGUUUGAUCAUGGCUCAGAUUGAACGCUGGCGGCAGGCCUAACACAUGCAAGUCGAACGGUAACAGAAAGCAGCUUGCUGCUUCGCUGACGAGUGGCGGACGGGUGAGUAAUGUCUGGGAAACUGCCUGAUGGAGGGGGAUAACUACUGGAAACGGUAGCUAAUACCGCAUAAUGUCGCAAGACCAAAGAGGGGGACCUUCGGGCCUCUUGCCAUCGGAUGUGCCCAGAUGGGAUUAGCUUGUUGGUGGGGUAACGGCUCACCAAGGCGACGAUCCCUAGCUGGUCUGAGAGGAUGACCAGCCACACUGGAACUGAGACACGGUCCAGACUCCUACGGGAGGCAGCAGUGGGGAAUAUUGCACAAUGGGCGCAAGCCUGAUGCAGCCAUGCCGCGUGUAUGAAGAAGGCCUUCGGGUUGUAAAGUACUUUCAGCGGGGAGGAAGGGAGUAAAGUUAAUACCUUUACUCAUUGACGUUACCCGCAGAAGAAGCACCGGCUAACUCCGUGCCAGCAGCCGCGGUAAUACGGAGGGUGC